AUUAUAUUAUACUAAUGCAUAAUGUCCCACAAGAAAGCAUUGGAAGCGCUUGAUCGUAAAAUAAACUUACCGAUUUUUUGGUGGAGCACACAUUUUUCGACAAACACUGGCGUUUAUACCAAGUUCAACACCUUCUGACCCACUUAAUGCAUGCCUGAAAUUAUCCAUUUUAUGGCGUCACUUGCAAAUUCACUUUGGAAACCAACAUGGGUUUACAACUACAGCUUGAUGCAUCGGCUGAAAUAUUUGCAAAACAACUUAUGGAUAUUGGAAAUGGGCGAAUGCAAAUUGAUGAUCUUCGCAAUCUAUCACCUUGCCAACAAAGUUUUGUAAGAUCACAGAAAGCUUAUACGAACUACAAAAAUCAUUAGUGGCUAAGUACGCGUGCUAUAUGGGCGGCUAAAAACGUUGAUGCUAACACCAUCAACAUCACUAUUCCGGUGAAAUGAGAACAUAUAAUUCCACCGAUUUUGUAAUGAAUCGGGACGAAGUUGUCAAAUAUUCAACUAAAUUCUCGGUUUGCCUGGCUUGCCGCUGCACGUUCUUACAUUGAAAAUUGGCGUACCAUCCUUCUCCUUCGAAAUUUUAAUCCAACUCGACUUUGCAAUGAACCCAGGCUCUUAGUCAAGAAACUGAUGAACAAUGUUAUCGAAACAACAACUUUGACUGGUAAAUAUAAAGUUCCAGGUGCGUAUUUCCUUCGCAAUGACCACCAACAAACCACAAGGACAAUCAUUGCAAGUGUGUGGACUAAAUUUAGAGAAUCCAAGCUUCUCACAUGGGCAGCUCUAUGUGGCCUGCUCGCGCGUCGGAAAAUUUUCUGAUUUAUUCGUUUUCGCACCUGAUGAAAAAACAUUGUAUAUCCCAAUGCACUUCUAUAAAUGUUGAAUAUAAACCUAAACGAAAA
This is a long non-coding RNA of Drosophila eugracilis, 907 nucleotides long. RefSeq lists it as uncharacterized. Lineage: Eukaryota; Metazoa; Arthropoda; Insecta; Diptera; Drosophilidae. The record is from RefSeq and is a predicted model, not a curated record. The transcript is spliced from 2 exons.